ACGGCUCAGUAACACGUGGAUAACAUGCCCUAAGGUGGGGGAUAAUCUCGGGAAACUGAGGAUAAUACCCCAUAGAUCAUAGAUGCUGGAAUGCUCUUUGGUCCAAAACUCCGGUGCCUUAGGAUUGGUCUGCGGUCUAUCAGGCUGUAGUGGGUGUAAUGGACCCACUAGCCCGUGACGGAUAUGGGCCUUGAGAGAGGGUGCCCAGAGAUGGACUCUGAGACAUGAGUCCAGGCCCUACGGGGCGCAGCAGUCGCGAAAACUUCGCAAUGGGGGAAACCCCGACGAGGGAAUUCCAAGUGCCAGCACUUUGUGUUGGCUGUUCUUCUGUCUAAAAAACAGGAGAAGUAAGGGGCGGGUAAGACGGGUGCCAGCCGCCGCGGUAAUACCCGCGCCCCAAGUGGUGGUCGAUAUUAUUGAGCCUAAAACGUCCGUAGCCGGUCUUCUAAAUCCUUGGGUAAAUCGGGCAGCUUAACUGUCCGAAUUCCGGGGAGACUGGGAGACUUGGGACCGGGAGAGGUCAGAGGUACUUCUGGGGUAGGGGUAAAAUCCUGUAAUCCUGGAAGGACCACCGGUGGCGAAGGCGUCUGACUAGAACGGAUCCGACGGUGAGGGACGAAGCCCUGGGGCGCAAACGGGAUUAGAUACCCCGGUAGUCCAGGGUGUAAACGCUGCGGGCUUGGUGUUGGGGGUCCUUAGUGGGCGCCCAGUGCCGGAGAGAAGUUGUUAAGCCUGCUGCUUGGGGAGUAUGUCCGCAAGGAUGAAACUUAAAGGAAUUGGCGGGGGAGCAC
This 791-nucleotide ribosomal RNA is filed under the name uncultured archaeon. RNAcentral describes it as "bacterial SSU rRNA". It matches the Rfam family "Archaeal small subunit ribosomal RNA", at positions 85 to 879 of the family's 1478-position model. The record is from RNAcentral.